This is a long non-coding RNA of Salvia miltiorrhiza (redroot sage), 1623 nucleotides long. RefSeq lists it as uncharacterized. The record is from RefSeq and is a predicted model, not a curated record. Lineage: Eukaryota; Viridiplantae; Streptophyta; Magnoliopsida; Lamiales; Lamiaceae. The transcript has 3 exons.
UUAAAAGAAAAAUAGGGCCUCUGCAAUUCUUCUUCUCCAUCCGCCUUCUUCUUCUCCCCCCCAUCCGCCUUCUUCUUCCCCAAAUCGACCCCUCUGCAAUUUUUUUUUAAAAUCGACCCCUCUGCCAUAUACCAACUCCCUUCGCCCCGAUUCUCCACCAAGUCCCGGCUUCGAACCAUGCCGAUGCUCUAGCGCGGCGCACGCUUCGGCGACCCGGAUCGAACCAAGUCCCAGCUUCGAACCCUAGGUUGUCGCAGGCGGCCUGUCAUCGAAGCCUCUCAGGAAAGCCAACUUUCCCCUCACGACCUAUCUCGCGCUCCUAUCUUUUUCCCCCAAAUCCAGAACCCUAGGUCGUUUGUCGCCACCGCCACCGCUUCCACCGAUAGUCGCCUCCCUCGCACUGAAAUACUCCGAUUUUAAUGGCGGCGGCCCUCUCUCUCUCAGAUAAUAUGCACAAAUUGGGCACAACUUUAUCUUUCUAGGGUUCUAAAUCGCACCGGUAACGACAGUUCUCUCCCUAUCUCUCUCCACUCUCCAACUCCAGUAUUGAAUUCGCGGGGGGAUUCUGAAUUCUUGAUUGCUCCGAGUCCGAAUUGUUAUGACAGUUUUCUUAGGUGGCUGAUGCUGGAGGUUCACCCUCACUUGUUGCUCGAGGAUACAGCACUAUUCAGGCUGCUAGUGGUGGUGAGCAACUUGAAAUUCAAGUUCCAGUUGAAAAGGUUCAUUCUUCAUUUCUCAUCUGCUAUCGCUUUAUCUAUAUGCAUAUAUUUAUAUGUGUAUUUGUGCUUUUUUACUAUUUACUAUGUUUGUGGAACUGAGGUGGUAAGUGAUUUGUAUUAUAUUUUGUCUUACCCCCUUGAAAUUUGUUUAGGGGGGGGGAGAGAGAGAGAGAGAGAUUGUAUAUAUAUGUGUAUAUAUAGAAAAAUGGUUAUUGGGACAUAAGAGCUAGCUUGCUUGUUGAGUAUUGAAAGCUAAGGCUGCCUAUGGUUCAUGCUUGCACAUAUGGAACUAUUACUUUGAAAUUGAUGCUUCAUUCAACCAAAAACAUUAUCUUUGAUCAUCUAAAAUAUAAAAAUGUGUGAAGAAUAUUAUGAGAAUUAUGUUGGGGCUUGAAUGGAAGUCUAAGUAAUUAGUUUUGCAGUACUAAGUUUUCCUUUAUGCCAAUCAUGACUUGCAACUCGAAUAGAUGAUAAGAAUAUCAAACACAUUCAUUUUCUUAAUCUAGGCAAGUAUGAAAAUUUGGCAGAAUGAAAGAUAUUUAGGUAAAAUUUGGAGGAUUUGCAGUAUCACUCGUAAAGAAUUGUCAUAGUAGAUUCUGUAAAGCUGCUCAUAUUUUUUUUGUUCCCAUUGCUAGAUCUUGGCAGUAGAUUCAGUUGAUUAAUUUCAUAUCUUAUUUAAGGUAAGGUAGUGCCAUGAUGAGCUAAUUUUGAAAUUAUGAAUUGCUUUUUCGUCAUUUAGAUUCCAAAUAUUGGGGCAUUGGCAAUCUAGAUGAAAGAGGUCUACCUCUGAAUAUGUUGACUUGCUAUUACAGUUGAGAAAACUGUUCUGUUCAUAUCUCGUUGUCUGAGGAUUGUAGGCUUAUAUCUUCUUGUAGUUGUGGUUUCUGUAAUCUUUUUCGGUCUG